RNAcentral lists this unclassified non-coding RNA (275 nucleotides) under Hevea brasiliensis (rubber tree). The record is from RNAcentral. Lineage: Eukaryota; Viridiplantae; Streptophyta; Magnoliopsida; Malpighiales; Euphorbiaceae.
AUAGCUAUGGAUGCUGCAUUUGGAAUGGAAUAUUUGCACUCAAAGAAUAUUGUGCAUUUUGAUUUGAAAUGCGACAACUUGCUUGUGAACUUGAAAGAUCCCCAACGACCAAUUUGCAAGGUUGGUGAUUUUGGCCUGUCAAAAAUUAAGCGAAAUACCUUGGUUUCUGGAGGUGUGCGAGGAACUCUACCAUGGAUGGCACCAGAACUGCUAAAUGGUAACAGCAAUAAGGUCUCAGAAAAGGUUGACGUUUUCUCCUUUGGAAUUGUCUUGUG